UGAUACCUCUUCCUGAAUAUGCCGCGUGCAGCUCACCAGGCACACGCGUCGAGAAGCAUCAGCGUUGCCUCUUCUUCCUCAUCUACGCAGUCUUCCAGCAACGAGCUCGACAGCCACCGGGCUAAGGCGAAGCGUGAACUUGCUUCUGCUUCUCGCUCUGCAAGGAAACCAUCCACUCUGCCACCGGCGUCAUCAGAGGCGAUUCAAGUGACAAGGAUGACGACUGACGCCACGGAGGGAGCGGCGGCAUCAAUGCCGCACGCACCUAGCAAAGGCACCUUAACGGAGUCCGAAAAGCGUCGCCAGAAGACACUUUUCUUGGGUGAGUCGGAGCAGUUCGCCUUCGACUUUGGCGGCGCUGUAACGGAGAUCGCAGAAACCGUCUUUGAAGCCGACGCAGCGCAGCGGGCAGCACAACGGGUGGAGGAGCUAGAGGAUACUACUGCUCGUGUCCAUGCCGCGUCUGCUUCGAGCGUCACCGCGGCUCCACGGCUGCUGACGCUAGAGGAGCUGAAUGCAUAUGCGGCAGAAGCCAUGCAACAGGGUCCGCGGCGCUUCCUGACUCUGGCCAAGGCGGGGUCACGCAAGCGGGCCGCCACAACGACGUCCUCUGCCCAUGCGCCGCAGGAUGAGUCCGCAUCCGUCAGCUCCGCGCCAUCAGGCCCUCAGCGAGCGGGGGAUGAGAAUGGUGCUACCCUAGCGGAGGCUAUUCCACAGUUCCAGGCAGCCUUGCGUCGAUACGAGGCGGAUCUCUGGCGUGCACAUAAGCAGCGCCGUGAGGAGGACGCUCGGCAGCGCAGCAAGAACACGCGCAGCCAACACGCGUAGCUGUGUCUCCGUGGCCUCUUCGAGGAGCGCACUGGGCUGCCGUGCCUUCUUUGCUCGGCCUUUCUCUUUUUUUUUUUCGUCUCCUGCGAGUAGCGUGUGAAGCGGACGAGGCCGAGGAGGGGGGAGGGCAGAGAGGGAGCGACUCCGUGAGUUCCACCGUGGUACACGCCCUUCUCCCCCUCUCCUUCCAGUCCUGUCGAAAAGUACCUUCUCACGUGAUUGACAAGGGACCGAAGGUGCGGCACGGUUGCUUCUCUCGUAACAUAAACACGCACACACACACACACACACACACAGCAAAGAUGCGGAGGAACACAGAGAGUCGAAAGCGAGACACAGUUCUGACCAUGGGCGUGCUGGCGAGAGCGAGCGAGCGCGAGAUGAUAGUGGCCGCAGGCGCGGCGUGCCAGGUAACGCACACCACAGCAGUGGAGCCUGUGGCAGUAUCGCUCCAUGACCCGGCAUCCUCUUACCACCCCUACCCCCACCACACUGCCAUCUCCUCUCUCUUUGGUCUUUUUCGCUCGAUUUGUGGGCGACAGCAGGGGGAGGCGCGGCGGGGUGGCGGUGAAGAGGGCCGUGAAGGCCCAUCGAAAAGGUGGAGGCACCCGCACCUGCGAUGCACAGGGCCUGCACUGUCCCUUGUAUCUCUCUCUCUGUCUGUCUGCCUGUGUGCGCCAGGGGACCGCGCGGAGAGACGCAUACAAAGAUGCAUCUCUUCUCUUGCACACCUGCGAGAUGAACACACAGAGGCGAUUCCCCUCAUCAUUUUGCCCAUCUCUGCAGAGGCGCAUCCUUCGACACAGACGCACGCCCGCGAUCCAGUGACACUCCUCUCUCUCUCUCUCUCGCUCUUCUUCCCUCUGUCCUCUCACCACCACCACCACCACCACCUGCCGCUGCUGCUGCUCUUCCCGGUUUUCCAG
RNAcentral lists this unclassified non-coding RNA (1754 nucleotides) under Leishmania donovani. RNAcentral's name for it is "gene:LdHU3.23.2020(CDS-product:hypothetical_prote in_conserved)". The record is from RNAcentral. Lineage: Eukaryota; Euglenozoa; Kinetoplastea; Trypanosomatida; Trypanosomatidae.